This is a long non-coding RNA of Hippoglossus stenolepis (Pacific halibut), 477 nucleotides long. RefSeq lists it as uncharacterized. The transcript is spliced from 3 exons. Lineage: Eukaryota; Metazoa; Chordata; Actinopteri; Pleuronectiformes; Pleuronectidae. The record is from RefSeq and is a predicted model, not a curated record.
GGAAGUCAAAGCUGCGUAGGGUACGACUGAACAUAGAUUUCAGUUGUUUUUUUAAAAAAAAGAUGGUUUUACUGGAUAUUCAUGUGACUUGAAGAGGCUGCUGCCUUUAUGGACGGAUAUAACAUCAGGCUGGUGGGACAGAGCGAUUGAGUCACCGGCUGAGCUUGUGGUGGAGCCUCCCCUCUGCACACUUGGAUCUGCAGAGCUGUGUACACUCACUCAUCCUUCCUCCGUCUGCUCGGUGCCUGUGAUUCCUCUGAGCCAUGAGGCAGACUCCAACACUCAGAAGCCUUCUCUUUUUCUUUGGGCUGUAUGGGAUCUGUUCAGGACUUCUACAAGGUGAGUUUCACACACACACACACACACACAAACAUAUCGUAAAUAUUUUAGUGAAUUCGUAUGUUUUUCGUAAUCCAUUUUAUAUUUCUUGUUUUUGGCUUUUAUGUCUAACUUAGUCCGUAGGGCUGUACAAAAGGA